AAGGGUAUAGCUCAGUGGUAGAGUGUGUGCUUAGCAUGCAUGAGGCCCUGGGUUCAAUUCCCAGUAUCUCCA
This 72-nucleotide transfer RNA is filed under the name Camelus bactrianus (Bactrian camel). It matches the Rfam family "tRNA". From Rfam's summary of the family: Transfer RNA (tRNA) molecules are approximately 80 nucleotides in length. Their secondary structure includes four short double-helical elements and three loops (D, anti-codon, and T loops). The record is from Rfam by way of RNAcentral. Lineage: Eukaryota; Metazoa; Chordata; Mammalia; Artiodactyla; Camelidae. RNAcentral also lists the same sequence under 2 other names.